This 253-nucleotide ribosomal RNA is filed under the name uncultured bacterium. RNAcentral describes it as "partial 16S ribosomal RNA". It matches the Rfam family "Bacterial small subunit ribosomal RNA", at positions 524 to 776 of the family's 1533-position model. The record is from RNAcentral.
UACGUAGGUGACAAGCGUUGUCCGGAUUUACUGGGCGUAAAGAGCGCGCAGGCGGUCGAUCAAGUCGAGUGUGAAAGCCCCCGGCUCAACUGGGGAGGGUCAUUCGAUACUGAUCGACUCGAAGGCAGGAGAGGGUAGUGGAAUUCCCGGUGUAGUGGUGAAAUGCGUAGAGAUCGGGAGGAACACCCGUGGCGAAGGCGGCCAACUGGGCCGGACCUGACGCUGAGGCGCGAAGGCGUGGGGAGCGAACGGG